GACGAACGCUGGCGGCGUGCUUAACACAUGCAAGUCGAACGCUGAAGACCUGGCUUUUGUUGGGUUGGAUGAGUGGCGAACGGGUGAGUAACACGUGAGUAACCUGCCCUCUUCUUUGGGAUAACGCCCGGAAACGGGUGCUAAUACUGGAUAUUCACUGAUCUUCGCAUGGGGGUUGGUGGAAAGGUUUGUUCUGGUGGGGGAUGGGCUCGCGGCCUAUCAGCUUGUUGGUGGGGUGAUGGCCUACCAAGGCUUUGACGGGUAGCCGGCCUGAGAGGGUGACCGGUCACAUUGGGACUGAGAUACGGCCCAGACUCCUACGGGAGGCAGCAGUGGGGAAUAGUGCACAAUGGGCGAAAGCCUGAUGCAGCGACGCGGCGUGAGGGAUGGAGGCCUGCGGGUUGUAAACCUCUUUCGCUCAUGGUCAAGCCGCAACUGUGGGUUGUGGUGAGGGUAGUGGGUAAAGAAGCGCCGGCUAACUACGUG
This 486-nucleotide ribosomal RNA is filed under the name uncultured bacterium. RNAcentral's name for it is "partial 16S ribosomal RNA". It matches the Rfam family "Bacterial small subunit ribosomal RNA", at positions 28 to 507 of the family's 1533-position model. The record is from RNAcentral.